GAUCCUGGCUCAGGAUGAACGCUGGCGGCGUGCCUAACACAUGCAAGUCGAACGGAGUUAUUUUGGAAAUCUCUUCGGAGAUGGAAUCUUUAACUUAGUGGCGGACGGGUGAGUAGCGCGUGAGCAAUCUGCCUUUAAGAGGGGGAUAACAGUCGGAAACGGCUGCUAAUACCGCAUAAAGCAUCAAAUUCGCAUGUUUUUGAUGCCAAAGGAGCAAUCCGCUUUUA
RNAcentral lists this ribosomal RNA (227 nucleotides) under uncultured bacterium. RNAcentral's name for it is "partial 16S ribosomal RNA". It matches the Rfam family "Bacterial small subunit ribosomal RNA", at positions 15 to 223 of the family's 1533-position model. The record is from RNAcentral.